AUACAGAGGGUGCGAGCGUUAAUCGGAAUUACUGGGCGUAAAGCGCGCGUAGGCGGCUGAUUAAGUCAGAUGUGAAAUCCCAGGGCUCAACCUUGGAACUGCAUCUGAUACUGGUCAGCUAGAGUUGAGGAGAGGGAAGUAGAAUUUCAGGUGUAGCGGUGAAAUGCAUAGAUAUCUGAAGGAAUACCAGUGGCGAAGGCGGCUUCCUGGCCUAAAACUGACGCUCAGGUGCGAAAGCGUGGGUAGCAAACGGGAUUAGAUACCCUAGUAGUCC
Molecule: ribosomal RNA, 274 nt
Filed under: uncultured bacterium
Lineage: Bacteria
Description: partial 16S ribosomal RNA
Rfam family: Bacterial small subunit ribosomal RNA
Source: RNAcentral